This 459-nucleotide small RNA is filed under the name Pan troglodytes (chimpanzee). Its description in RNAcentral is "processed transcript". Lineage: Eukaryota; Metazoa; Chordata; Mammalia; Primates; Hominidae. The record is from RNAcentral.
GUAGUGAGUAAGUCUCACGAGAUCUGAUGGUUUUAUAAAUGGGAGAUCCCCUGCACAAGCUCUCUUGCCUCCUGCCAUGUAAUAACUGUAGAGACAGUACCUUGUGCCCAGCUUAUGCCACCUGCACCAACACAGUGGACAGUUACUAUUGCACUUGCAAACGAGGCUUCCUGUCCAGCAAUGGGCAAAAUCACUUCAAGGGUCCAGGAGUGCAAUGCAAAGAUAUUGAUGAAUGUUCUCAAAGCCCCCAGCCCUGUGGUCCUAACUCAUCCUGCAAAAACCUGUCGGGGAGGUACAAGUGCAGCUGUUUACAUGGUUUCUCUUCUCCCACUGGAAAUGACUGGGUCCCAGGAAAGCCGGGCAAUUUCUCCUGUACUGAUGUGGAUGAAUGUGCAGAUCCAAGAGCUUGUCCAGAGCAUGCAACUUGUAAUAACACUGUUGGAAACUACUCUUGUUUCU